CACAGACGUCCCAAGCGUUGUUCGGAUGCAUUGGGCGUAAAGGGACCGUAGGCGGCGACGCAAGUCAGGUGUGAAAUCCCGGGGCUCAACCCCGGAACUGCACUUGAUCCUGCGUUGCUAGAGGGCGUAAGAGGAGAUCGGAAUUCACGGGGUAGCAGUGAAAUGCAUAGAUAUCGUGAUGAAGGCCAGUGGCGAAGGCGGAUCACUGGGAAUUUCCUGACGCUGAUGCACGAAGGCCAUGGGAGCAAACGGG
RNAcentral lists this ribosomal RNA (253 nucleotides) under uncultured bacterium. RNAcentral describes it as "partial 16S ribosomal RNA". It matches the Rfam family "Bacterial small subunit ribosomal RNA", at positions 524 to 776 of the family's 1533-position model. The record is from RNAcentral.